UUAACAUAAAUAUCUGACAUCACAACUGUAUAUAAGUAAAAGAAAUCCAGAAAAAGCAUAAUGUCCCCUUUUAAAAACAACUAAGAAAAUCAGACUCCAAAUUCCAUUCAACAUUAUUAAAGUUAAAUUAUUUACUGAUCACAGGUUUCGCUUCGGAAGUAAUAUUGUUCCCUUCUCCAAAGUGGAUCAAGAGCAGAUGAAAUACGUGCAUGACAGGAAGUGCUUUGCUGUUCUGAGCUUUACCAAACAGAAUCCGGUAUUGUACUUGUUAUGACGGUGUGAUUGUACAUGGCAUCUAAAAAGCAUUCAAGUAAAACAUGAAGAAUCAUGUAACUGAGCUUUGCACACUUUAAAAAUUGACUCCAUGAUGUUGGUAGAAGAUGAGGAUGGAGAACAAAAGGACAUGUUCAAGGUCCACCACAUUCCCAACCCUGCGUUCCAGAGGCACUUCCAGGCACUGCACACCUAUUAGUUCUCAGUUGAUGUGGUCAGAAAAGUUUUGGAGGGGGAGGUGGUGGUAUUUAACAUCAGAAGCAAAACCUUUUAUCUUUCUAGACUUGAAUAGACCUUCACCAGCUAUAGGGUGUUGAUAUUCAACCAGGAUUAAAUUUACACCUUCAUGUUGGAGAGUUUUUGUCAAACAGUGGAUGUUUCUCACUUCUGUCUUUCUUUCUCAUUUAUGAAUAUUUUCUCUGAAUCUAUAAAUCUCAGAGUUCUUUCUAGAUUGAAAAGUAUUUAAUUUAUUGUAUGAUAUCAUACAAAUUAGUUUUCUAUGUGCUUGACCCCUGUUGUGAGAAUGCCGUUAAGCAGCUGUUUAUGUGCAAGCCACAUAAUUAAUAAUUAAUUAAUUGGGAGGAAAUAUAAUUAAAUUAAAUGAAUCAGUAUAUAUCUGAAAGUCAUGAACUCUGAACAUAGUGAGCUCCAUCUCUGAUAUACAGGAACAGACAAAUACAAUGACUUGGCUAUAAUCAAGAUAUUUAACUACCAAGAAACAGAGAUGAAUGCGAAACACUAUGCAUAUAUACAUUUAUAUACAUUUAUACAACUAAAAUGAAUGAAUGAAUGGAUGCAGGAAUGAAUGGGUAGAUUAAAUUAACAAGUUACUGCCGACAGAGUGAAUAAAUGAAUGAAUGUUAUCAAAAAUGAGUCAAAAACGCAAUAAGGGGCCAAGACUCUAAAUACAGCCAAUUAAACUAAAUUUUUGAAUAGCGCUUGCAUGGUAGAUGGAUUUCCUACUGUUUCCUUGGUGAUGAAGGGCUGAUGAUGAGGAGCUUUUCAGGAAGUGCCGAGCAAGGCGAAGAAGUCUCAGUUCAGUGAAACAGCUUUGGUUCACUGCUUCUCAGCAGGAUGAAUCCAGUCUCAGACUAGCUGAGGCCGCAUAGUGGACACACACAACAGGGAGGUGUCAGUGGCAGGCUCCAGAGUUGGAUAAAUGGAGCUCUAAACUAAUCAGAAGAGUCUUUAAAAAGUUUAACUACAUGAUAAAAAUAGGAGAUUACAAAAGAAUAGAUUGGUCUAAUGUCAAACAGUACACCUUGGCUUGUGGCUGAAGCAUCUUUGCUUUUGUCUUAAUUGAGUCUCUUUCUGGAGCUCUCAGCUCUCAGUCAUAGAAAAAAAACAAUUCCUGAAAUGCCAGGCUGAGAGGAACACAAAGGAAACAGCAGUGGUUAGCAAGACAAAAAGCAGAAGAGCAGCAGCCAAAAGGGCAUGAGUGAAGAAGAACCAGACAAAGAGUUAAAAAGUAAAACUUCUUAUAGCUAGGUAGCGUGUUUUUUGGAGAGAGAGGAUCCUUUGACGCUCUUUUGAAGGACCACAUUGUUUACUAAUUAAUUAUUUUGUGCGGAGUGAAAACUGGCCUCCAGUGUUAAAGGGGAAUAAUUUUGUUCCUAUCAGAUAUCUGAAAAUUACAAAUUACAUUGCAAAUUGAAUAUUCACUUGUUCUGUUGUCAAUAUCAUCGACACAUCAUGAAACAGUGAGAACACUUAUAAUAAGAAAAGAAAGGAGAGAGAGACUCAAAGGAAUGCAGUUUCUCCUAAAAUUUUAGACGUAAGAGAUAGGGGCUAGCAGAAGAAGGGAGGGUAGUCCAUCCAGGUUUGGGCCGUCUGUAUCUGAAAAGAAAAACAAAAUUGUUCAUUUCUCUCCUCCUGUGGUUGGUGGUGAGAAGACUGGGAUUUUGUUAUGUCCAUUGUUUCCUUGACAUCCUUAUGCCUUUAGGUCAGAGGUCAUCGGGUCCAUGUGUGUCGGCCCCCUGCAACUACUUUUCCAAAGUGGAUCAAGAGCAGAUAUAAGAGCAGCAAAUAUAAGCAUGACAGGAAGUGCUUUGCUGUUCUGGGCUUUACCAAACAGAAUCCGGUAUUGUACUUGUUAUGACAUUGUGAUUGUACAUGGCAUCUAAAAAGUAUUCAAGUAAAACACGAAGAAUCAUGUAACUGAGCUUUGCACACUUUAAAAAUUGACUCCAUGAUGGAGGAUGGAGAACAAAAGGACAUGUUCAAGGUCCACCACAUUCCCAACCCUGCGUUCCAGAGGCACUUCCAGUGCCUGCACCAUCGGGCAGUAAACCCCGGCACCCCUCUUCCCCCCAUGGAAGAGUGGCUGAAGGCUGCCCUCAAGCGCCCUGAGGUAAUUAGUGAACGUUGCUAAGCUCCACUAGAGGAGACGAAGAAGAAGUUUCCUCUCACACAAGUGGAGAAGAAAAAGAAGCCGAAGACUAGUGCUCAGAUUUUUGGCAAAGACUCGGAGGAGCCAGAUGCCAAGAAGGCAAAAGGAGAUGAGGAAGAGGAGGAGUACAACCUGGCUAACAUUGCUGAAGGCUCUGUAACGUCGGGUCUCCUUUGGCGCCACAUUCACCUCUGCCCCCCCUGGGCCCUUUUUUGCCUGGAACACCUCUGUCUCCCUGGGAAAAGCAGAGUUACCUCAGACUAAAGUAGCAACAUUAAAGACAUGCAAGAAUUUCGUGAGGCCCUGAGUCUCCCCUUGGUCCAGGAUCUCCAGGAUUUCCCAUGGAGCCCUGCGACCACAAAAGAGGAUAUUCAAUGAAAAUAGUAUCAUUAACUGUGCGUUAACCAGUGAUAUUUCAUUAAGAAUCCCCUCAAAACAAGAGCUCUAUUAUGAUGUGUUGCAAUCUU
Long non-coding RNA from Thunnus maccoyii (southern bluefin tuna), 3129 nucleotides. RefSeq lists it as uncharacterized. The record is from RefSeq and is a predicted model, not a curated record. The transcript has 5 exons. NCBI's taxonomy places the organism in Eukaryota, Metazoa, Chordata, Actinopteri, Scombriformes, Scombridae.